RNAcentral lists this ribosomal RNA (429 nucleotides) under uncultured Anaerolineaceae bacterium. Its description in RNAcentral is "bacterial SSU rRNA". It matches the Rfam family "Bacterial small subunit ribosomal RNA", at positions 941 to 1382 of the family's 1533-position model. The record is from RNAcentral. Lineage: Bacteria; Bacillati; Chloroflexota; Anaerolineae; Anaerolineales; Anaerolineaceae.
GUGGUUUAAUUCGUUGCUACACGAAGAACCUUACCUGGGUUUGACAUAUAGGUUCGUAGGGAACUGAAAGGGACCGACCCUUCGGGGAGCCUAGUACAGGUGUUGCGAUGGCUGUCGUCAGCUCGUGUCGUGAGAUGUUCGGUUAAGUCCGCUAACGAGCGCAACCCUCGUCGUAUGUUAUAUGUGUCAUACGAGACUGCCGGUAAAAGCCGGAGGAAGGUGAGGAUGAUGUCAAGUCAGCAUGACCUUUAUAUCCAGGGCUACACACACGCUACAAUGGUCUGUACAAUGGGUAGCCAAGCCGCGAGGCGGAGCCAAUCCUGAAAGCAGGCCUCAGUUCAGAUUGCAGUCUGCAACUCGACUGCAUGAAGCCGGAGUUGCUAGUAACCGCAGGUCAGCAAUACUGCGGUGAAUACGUUCCCGGGUCUU